UUUAAAGCAACUAAGGGCACACGGUGGAUGCCUUGGCUCUGAGAGGCGAAGAAGGACGUGGUAAGCUGCGAUAAGCUACGGGAAGCUGCACACAAGCAUUAUAUCCGUAGAUCUCCGAAUGGGACAACCCACUAUACUGAAGGUAUAGUAUCUUGAAAGAGAAGCCAACCCCGAGAACUGAAACAUCUAAGUACCGGGAGGAAAAGAAAAUAAAGUAAUGAUUCCCUAAGUAGUGGCGAGCGAACGGGGAACAGCCUAAACUUUAGCAGCGUGCUGCUAGAGGGUUGUAGGACCGCAUUUAGAAAGCAUCAUGAAGCUGAAGGCUCUGGAAAGAGCUGCCAUAGAAGGUGAUAGCCCUGUAAGCGUAAGGUGAUGUGGACGAGCGGUAUCCUGAGUAGGGCGGGACCGGAGAAAUCCUGCUUGAAUCUGCCAGCACCAUCUGGUAAGGCUAAAUACUCCUCAGAGACCGAUAGUGAACCAGUACCGUAAGGGAAAGGUGAAAA
This 503-nucleotide ribosomal RNA is filed under the name Actinomycetota bacterium. RNAcentral's name for it is "partial 23S ribosomal RNA". It matches the Rfam family "Bacterial large subunit ribosomal RNA", at positions 1 to 520 of the family's 2925-position model. The record is from RNAcentral. Lineage: Bacteria; Bacillati; Actinomycetota.